RNAcentral lists this long non-coding RNA (1072 nucleotides) under Vitis vinifera (wine grape). Its description in RNAcentral is "long non-coding RNA (VVIN_LNC003323)". The record is from RNAcentral. Lineage: Eukaryota; Viridiplantae; Streptophyta; Magnoliopsida; Vitales; Vitaceae.
GCUGAUUGGAGAUGUAGAUUUUAAGGAGAUGGUGAGAGACAUGUUCUUAAAUCCUUUGGCGCAUCUCUUCUCAUCCACAAGAAGAUCUGUAAUCUCCUCUUGUUCGACAUAACCUUGAAUUGGAAAGUGAUUAAAAUUCAGGUAACCUGAUCUUGGAAUAACUGCAGAUAAGGAGUUGGAUGGUGAACUUGCCGCACCAUCUAUGCUGCGAGUAACUGAACUCUCUGCUGCAUCUUCUCUUCUACUGUAUCUAUGCUUGUGGAUGAGAAGAGAUGCGACAAAGGAUUAAAGAACAUGUCUUUCACCAUCUCCUUAAAAUCUGUCUCCAAUCAGCGGCUGAGACAGAGCAAAUCCAAUUUUCUUCCGUUGUAGAAUUUGGAGAUGUAGAUUUUUUAUUAAAUUCUUCGCCGCAGCUCUUCUCAUCCACAAGCAGACCUGUAAUCUCCUCUUGUUCAACCAAACCUUGAAUUGAAAAGUGAUUAAAAUUCAGAUAACCUAGUCUUGGAAUAACUGCAGAUAAGGAGUUGGACGGUGAACUUGCUGCACCAUCUAUGCUGCGAGUAACUGAACUCUUUAUUGCAUCUACCCUUCUAGUGAGAAGCUUUCUUUUAUUUUAACCAACAGCCUUUUGGUAUUGCAUAGAAGCCAGAGCUCAGGCAGAGAGUAGACAUGCAAGGGGCCAUCCUUCAUUCUGAUAGGUGUGGAUGCUGCAGUCUUCCAAUGCGCUGAUGGCCGUGCAUGUGGAGACAAUUUCUUCCUUCUGAUGGUUGUUGAUGGUGUGAUGCUCUUUAGCUUCCAAUGCACCUCUCUCUGGUGUGUUCCUCCUCUGCUUCUUGCAACUCCUCCAUAAACUUUAUAUAGAAGAAUACAAAUAAAUAAAAUAAGUUCAAGAAAAAUAUUAAAAUUGAUUUAUUAUUCUCCUUCACUUUUUCUUUUCUUCUAUUUUUCCUCUCUAUUUUCUUUAGCUCACAUGUUUUCUCAAUUUUUCCAAGAACCAAACAUAAGAUAAAUGAUCGGACAGAGGAAUUUUGGUGAGACAUGUUAAUACACCAAGGGUGUGUAUGUUUUCAAU